CCCUUAGAUGUUCUGGGCCGCACGCGCGCUACACUGAUGCAUUCAACGAGCCUAUCCUUGACCGACAGGUCCGGGUAAUCUUUGAAUCUGCAUCGUGACGGGGAUAGAUUAUUGCAAUUAUUAAUCUUCAACGAGGAAUGCCUAGUAGGCGCAAGUCAUCAGCUUGCGUCGAUUACGUCCCUGCCCUCUGUACACACCGCCCGUCGCUCCUACCGAUUGGGUGUGCUGGUGAAAUGUUCGGAUCGGCCGUUUGUCGCGGUUUCCGCGGCUCGUGGCUGAGAAGUUCAUUAAACCCUCCCACCUAGAGGAAGGAGAAGUCGUAACA
Molecule: ribosomal RNA, 325 nt
Filed under: uncultured eukaryote
Lineage: Eukaryota
Description: partial 18S ribosomal RNA
Rfam family: Eukaryotic small subunit ribosomal RNA
Source: RNAcentral